Molecule: long non-coding RNA, 401 nt
Filed under: Trifolium pratense (red clover)
Lineage: Eukaryota; Viridiplantae; Streptophyta; Magnoliopsida; Fabales; Fabaceae
Description: long non-coding RNA (TPRA_LNC001559)
Source: RNAcentral
GUUUUCAUACUUCUGGAAAGCAGAACUCCUCUUCUUCUUUUGGCUAACAAAUUUGCAACCAUUUUCACAAACAAAAAAUUUCAAUUACUUAUGGAUGCAACAAAGACAUUCAUUGAGCGUCCCUUUCAUGUAGAGCAGAUUUGCAGGCUAGAAUCCAAAAACCUCAGUCUGCAUACAUGUGGUUGGAAUCAAUUUCAAAAUUCAAAUUCUUCCUCUCUUCUCUUCAAUAUCAUAACUCACUUUCUUUAUCAUGGGUUUCAAAUCUUCUCUCAUCAGAUCUCUCAUCCUUCACCACCUUCCCUGCCGUCACUUUCUUUUUUCAUUAUCGAAGAACAUCAAAAGGCAUCCUCCGGUGGCUUCUUCAGCGUCUUCAAAUGGAAAGGUCCCCAAUUUUCUUCAAU